This 515-nucleotide long non-coding RNA is filed under the name Parus major (Great Tit). RNAcentral describes it as "lncRNA (ENSPMJG00000006945.1)". The record is from RNAcentral. Lineage: Eukaryota; Metazoa; Chordata; Aves; Passeriformes; Paridae.
CGGCGCGGCCCGUGAGGGCGGCGGGGGCUCGGUCGGGCCGGGCUCGGGACACUGGGAGCACCGGAGGUCCUUCCCGAGCGGCGGCGGAGCCGGGACACCGCCUCCCUGAGCCGCUCCCCUCGCACAGCCCCAGUUACCGAGACACCCAACAAUGGCUCCCGGGGAGCAGUGGCACCCACCGAAGCUGGUGACAGCGUAGAGAAGCAGCCCUUGUCCACCAGUCAAACAACCCUGGAGGGACCGAGGAGACUCAAGAGCCAGCCUCAAGCCUGUCCCUGCCAGUGACAAGAAACACCUUGAUGAACUCUAAGCAAAGGUGAGACUCCAAACAAACCCUCUGCAACCAAACCCUCUGGAAACCAAACCCCAUCUUUGCCCCAGGGCAAAAUGUUUCUCUGGUGACUAUGUUUGGAAGAAAACAGGAUUGUUUGAAAUGUCCCCUGUUGUUCCUGCCUCCCGGCAGGAAUUACAAAAAAGAAAAUAAAUAGCCGAUUUUUGUUAUUGAAAGUUUGAAA